AACGAACGCUGGCGGCAGGCUUAACACAUGCAAGUCGAACGCCCCGCAAGGGGAGUGGCCGACGGGUGAGUAACGCGUGGGAACAUACCCUUUUCUACGGAAUAGCUCUGGGAAACUGGAAUUAAUACCGUAUACGCCCUACGGGGGAAAGAUUUAUCGGGGAAGGAUUGGCCCGCGUUGGAUUAGCUAGUUGGUGGGGUAAAGGCCUACCAAGGCGACGAUCCAUAGCUGGUCUGAGAGGAUGAUCAGCCACAUUGGGACUGAGACACGGCCCAAACUCCUACGGGAAGCAGCAGUGGGGAAUAUUGGACAAUGGGCGCAAGCCUGAUCCAGCCAUGCCGCGUGAGUGAUGAAGGCCUUAGGGUUGUAAAGCUCUUUCACCGAUGAAGAUAAUGACGGUAGUCGGAGAAGAAGCCCCGGCUAACUUCGUG
This 431-nucleotide ribosomal RNA is filed under the name uncultured bacterium. Its description in RNAcentral is "partial 16S ribosomal RNA". It matches the Rfam family "Bacterial small subunit ribosomal RNA", at positions 29 to 507 of the family's 1533-position model. The record is from RNAcentral.